Non-coding RNA from Vicugna pacos (alpaca), 175 nucleotides. NCBI's taxonomy places the organism in Eukaryota, Metazoa, Chordata, Mammalia, Artiodactyla, Camelidae. The record is from RefSeq and is a predicted model, not a curated record.
CAGACAUAGAAAACAAACUUGUGGUUACCAGGGGGGAAAGUGGGGGUAUAAAUUAGGAUCCUGAGAUUUGCAUAUACAAACUACUAUUUACAAAAUAGAUAAACAACACGGUCCUACUGUAUAGCACAGGGAACUAUAUUUAAUAUCUUGUAAUAAACUAUAAUGGCAAAGAAUU